Molecule: long non-coding RNA, 625 nt
Filed under: Cricetulus griseus (Chinese hamster)
Lineage: Eukaryota; Metazoa; Chordata; Mammalia; Rodentia; Cricetidae
Description: lncRNA (ENSCGRG00015043032.1)
Source: RNAcentral
ACAAAUGGGUUGCUAAGAGACAUUGAUGUGAGGAAGAGAUGGACUGCUGAGUUGAGAACAGCAGGGAACCGCUCCUGGGGCCACAGACAGCAGGCCCAAGCAGCUCUGUGACUCUGAGUUUUGGUCCCAUGUUCAUUAGUUUGACAGGAUGAUCAUUAUAAAAUAUCCCAGGCCAUGUGACUUAAACAGUGGGGACUCAUUUCCUCACAGGACUAGAAGCAGAAGUUCAAGAUCAAGUUAUAGGCAGGGUUGCUCUCUCUGACUUACCAAGGGAGUCUUCUCCAUUGCUUCGGCCUGGUCUAUCCCUCCGUGUGGUCUCUGUUCUGCUUGAAAGACCCUCAGAGCGAGGAGCCUCCACAAAUUGGACAGUUUCCCCCAAAAAACUCAAUGUCCAGUCCAGCUGAUGUAAAAACAAGAGUUCUCAGGGUACUCCAUGGAUUGAACUCAGCAGAAGCCUGGGAGCAGUGGGGUGUGCAAUGCAAUUCUGGGUCAGCUUCCUCCGGCAGAAGGCAAGACAGGGAAGAAGCUGGGGACGAUGGAGACAGGUGAAGCAGAGCAGACUGACACCGAGAAGGGCUCCGAAAUUUGAAAUAAGUCUCUCAGUCUACACGUUUAAUAAAUCAAG